AUGAUUUUAACUAAUUGUACUUAUGUCUUUGAAAGUUGCUGCCACCGACAGAUGAUGAAAUCUGAUUCCUGGUGCUCGGUUUCUAUUCAGCCUUUGAGUCUUCGAUUACUUCUCGUUUCAUGACCCAUGUUGGCGUUGGAUUCUACUUCCCAACUACAACCUCCCUUUGGCAGAACUGCUAGGUUAUACAUGGAUUACCAUUGACCCUAUGCACAAUGUGUUUGGAUUACAAGAAUUAGAAGCUAAAUGGUUAGUCUUUGUCUAGUUUAUGGUAAGUAACGUGCUAAGAAUCAUGUUAACCUCAUUCAAAUAUAUCUUAGUGUAGGUAAUUUCCAAUUCCCAGUUCGUGGAUCUUAGUAAUAGCUAUGUCAUGCAUGUAGGUUAGACACAAUGUUGCUCGAAACAAAGGGCUCUUGGACUACAGCUAAAAAGGCUUAUUCAAGCAUUCUAGAGGAUAAAUUAUCCAAUUCCAAUUAUACAUCACCUUUUUUUACUAAUCAGUUUGUGUUUAAUACAUAUUUUAAUUUGUUAGAGUAUAUGGUCAACGAGGUCAAUAUAGAUGAAUGCAAAGCUCUAUAAAUGAAUGCUUAACUCUACAGGGAUUGUGGGACAUCAAUGGCUGGUCUUUGAAGGCUUUCGGCUAUGAUUUCGACCAAGGUGACUACCACAGUUUUGUCCAUGGGAGAUUGACCUAUGAAUAUCUGAAACCCAACCCGGUUUUGAGAAGUCUGUUACAAUACAUAGCCUGUCCAUAAGGAAAGUUAUUUUCUUGAAUGCAAACAAGGCACAUGUGGCUGAAGUUCUUUAUCGACUUGGACUGUUGGAUUGCUUUAAUGAUGGUAAUGAUAGUAGAUGUGGUGUUAUACUACUCGGGAGUCCUAUUAUUUGAAACCCUUUGAAAAUGUGUUCCAACAGCCUUUUAAGAUGGCAAAGAUUAACCUUCGUAAAAGCUUGCUGACAUCAGCAACAUGCCACAAGGAUUUACAGGUUUAAACCAAGGUCACAAGUUUGGGCCAAGUCCCAAUGCUUUAAAAAGGCAUAUUGAGAGUUGGGGUAUUCGGAUUUGGAGAGAUGGAGGAUGGUUGGUUGAAUUUCUUUCUUCAUUUGCUGACUUCACAGAAUAUGGGAGGUAAGCAAGUACAGCUUAUUAUGUUGCCUCUGUGUUUGCAAGCAUUUCUUCACUUAAUAUCGAAGAUAACCAAAGUGAUGGUAAUAUGAGCAUGAACUUGAGGAAGCGUGGGAAGGAGAAAAUUAUAAAUAAGACAAAGCUCUUAAUGCUGAUCGGACCUACCUUAAGUUCAAGAUAUGGGUAGAUUUAUUUAUAUUUGUGUUAGUGACUCUUA
This 1343-nucleotide long non-coding RNA is filed under the name Helianthus annuus (common sunflower). Lineage: Eukaryota; Viridiplantae; Streptophyta; Magnoliopsida; Asterales; Asteraceae. The record is from RNAcentral.